RNAcentral lists this long non-coding RNA (1591 nucleotides) under Daphnia pulex (common water flea). RNAcentral describes it as "uncharacterized LOC124196767, transcript variant X3". Lineage: Eukaryota; Metazoa; Arthropoda; Branchiopoda; Diplostraca; Daphniidae. The record is from RNAcentral.
UUCUCAGGCGACACGCGACAGCACAGACGUUGUAUAGUGAGGCUGCCAUCAGGAUAAAUUGCAAAGUUUCAGUAUCGAGUUUUUGCGAGCAUUUUGGGGAAAAUGAGUCAGUUUACGCAGAAAUUUGCUUGUUUUUCUCUAUUGCCUAAAAUGUUCCCUGUUCCGUUAUAGCCGUUACCUCUUAACGUGAUUGAAACUUGAAACAAGUCAGUCACAUUAAAGAAAGGUUUGAAACAGCCCAUGUGCCCAGCAGAUCACAUUGGUGCAAUAAGACAAGUAUGUAACGAAGUAAACUCAAACAUUCAGUGACUGCAACUCCUAUCUAUGUGAAUCUGCCAGACAGAAUUUUCAGUUCACCUAAUAGCAUUUUUAAAGAAGUGAGGAGAACGCUUGUGUGGAAUCGUCGAAAAGCAACCCAGUUUUUGCUAACUUGUUCGUGAAGGUUCAAUGGAGAAAAACGUCGAAAUACCUUUUCAUCCUUUCAUUCAACAGCUUCCACAGUGUGAUCAACAAGAUUAUUGAACUCUGGAAUCUUUGGGUCACGAUCUACAUGGACGCCAAUGCUGGUUCAUUACAAAACUCAUCUUUGUUGCCUAAUAAAGUGAAAUUCUUGAAGAAAUUGGCUUUGGUGAUGGAGGAAAGUCAUACAUGACACUACUCGAGCCCCCAUUAGAUGAACUGUUGCUGCAGUUUUGGCCAAGACGGAAUUUGAAAAGCCCCUCUAUUAGAAGCUGCACUGUCUGAGGCAGGUGACUAACAAGCAUAGUGAUGCAUACCAUUUAAUUGCUUUUUUUUGUUAAUAAUUCGUUAUAUUUUGGCAGCAAAAAUUGCUAGAGAGGAAUUUCAAUCGAUAUCCAAGGUUGAGUAAACUUGUGCUAAUGACAGGAAACUACGCCAGCUUCUACGGUAGUUGCAGAUUACGUGAGCCCGUCGAUGUUCCCAAGUACUAUAAUAUCAUCAAGAAUCCUAUGUACUUGCGAAUGGUUGAAACCAAGACUAGAAAGAGAAGCCACCAAUGAUUUUACGAUUCUUUUCGUAGUAGUUGUCAGAUUUGGAAUUCCAUGAAAUGCUGCCGAGGUUGGAUCAUGGACCAUGUUGGCAUAUCAUUCAAUUGGCUGAAGAAGAUCUUGGUUCUCUGGUUCUCUCGAAUGACUCGAAACAACAACUCACACAUCUCGUCCAGGAGUAACUCGCUUAUUUUGGGGAUCCAGCAAAGAAAACCUUCACUCCUCGCUCGAAUUUUCCAGUGGCUAUCCAAAUUAGAUCCACUCACCAUUUGACAUCGAAAACCACUGCUUGUUUCAUUCAAACUGCUGGACAGCCUUCCGGCGAUCGCGAUGGAAAGAGCUGCCAUAUCUUAUCUCAUUAAUUUCAGGGAUUCGCCAUCUGUCAUGCCGGUCUAUUAGAGCAGUAGUGAACGUUUUAGUACAACGGCGAGCAGGAUUGUCCCGCGUCUUUCGGGUGACACACCUUUUUGAGGGGAUAAAAGGACCAAUCGCGAAGGAACCAAGAACCCGGGAACUUUAAAUGGCCGCAAAUCAUGUCCUCCAGACUCCACGGCAGGAAACGUUCCAUCUCCUUCUCGUCCCGG